This is a long non-coding RNA of Talpa occidentalis (Iberian mole), 1582 nucleotides long. RefSeq lists it as uncharacterized. The record is from RefSeq and is a predicted model, not a curated record. The transcript is spliced from 4 exons. NCBI's taxonomy places the organism in Eukaryota, Metazoa, Chordata, Mammalia, Eulipotyphla, Talpidae.
AGGGUCUCACACUAUUUCGCAGAGGGAAAUGGAGAGUUGACACAUCCGGACCAUGUCUCCUCAGGGACCUUAGAGGCUCAUAGCAACAGGCCUAUGAAGAGGAACCAGGGCGCAGAGGGCCAAUGACUGACCACAGCAAUAAAAAUAGCCAACAUCUAGUGCCCGCUGUCCUUGUGCCAUUGACCGGGCUAAAUGCUGUGCAGGGAGUUUGGCCAUGCUAUUAUCCUAUUCCACAGAUGAGGAAAGCAAGGCUCAAAGAGGUGAAAUUAUUUGCCUACAGCCACACAGUUUAUCAGGUGCAGAGCUUGGAGUUGAAGCACGCUGUGUAACACCCAGAGCUGUCCCUGGCAAGACUCAAACCAGCUGCGCCUGCCCAAAGCGCUCCAAAUAUGUCUGUUCCAGUUUCUUCCAGUCUGGAGGAGAUGCCAGCUUGCAGAGUGGGAUGGCCAGCAGUUCAGUGCUGGAGCCUCCCUACUGCCUCCCGACCUUCUCAGCGUUUACCUAUCCACAUGUUUCAUGGGGAAACUGUACUGAAGGAUCGAGAAGACUGCCUCUUCUUACAGGAGCCCUGAGAGGAAACAAGUAUAUCCGGAUUUAAAGAUGAGGACACCUAAAUUCACAGAUGUCAAGUCACUUGGGCAAAGUCACACAGCCAACAGAGGAAAGAACAAGAACUUGAACUCAGGUCCCUGGCAUCAGGAGCGUGGGCACUGGCUGGCCCUUGGACCCUCAGUUCUCAGGCCAGAGCUUCCUUGAAGACCAACAAAGCUCUCUCCCCACAGGCACCCAUGGGGGGCUACUGAUCAUUGAGGCCUGUCAUCUCUGCUGUCCUUAGAGCUCACCCUUUGGCUCUCAGUUUUUCCUCUCCCCCACAAAGCCUACCACCCCACAGCUCCUCAGGAAACAAGGGGAGCAAUGGAGCUUCCAGUGAUCGUUGAGGAUAUGAGGUCUAAUUCUCUGGCUCCCUGUGACCUCCACCCACCCAUAGCUUUUGGUCUAUCCCUUGACUCAAGCAGAACAAACCCAACCUCCCUCUCACAUCUGGAAAAUUCCUACUUCUACUUAUCCUUCAGGGCCUAGUCAAACAUUGAGGUUUUCCCUGUCUCUAGCUCACCUCUGAAGUUCAGGAGCUCCCCAGAGAGCCUUGCAAUUACCGACCUACAUGAACCCAGAGCUCAGUUCUGAACCCCCUCUUCCCUCUCUGUAGUCUCCCUACUGCCACUGACCUCUUGGCUAUACAUCCAGCAGCAAAGUCUAACAGGCCUCUUGAAUGGGACAAGUCUAACGCUGACGUCAGCGUUUCUGCAGAUAAACCUGCCUCUCCUCUUCUUUGCAUUAUGCUCCCCAGCCUGUCUCUAUUCUCCCUUCUACCCCUGAGUAAUUCUGUGAUCUACUCUUCUGAGUUACUCUUCUCCCUUCUGCCCCUCAGUAGCCACUGUGAUUAAAAAAAAAAAAAAUCCACCUUGAGGAAUAAUUACAUAUAAUAAACUGCACUCAUUUAAAAUAAACUAUACUUAUUUCAUAAUUUUUAUACAGGCACACCCCAGAGAUAUUAUGGGUUUGGUUCUAGACCACUGCAAUA